Long non-coding RNA from Meriones unguiculatus (Mongolian gerbil), 2443 nucleotides. RefSeq lists it as uncharacterized. Lineage: Eukaryota; Metazoa; Chordata; Mammalia; Rodentia; Muridae. The record is from RefSeq and is a predicted model, not a curated record. The transcript is spliced from 3 exons.
ACGGGCGGGGUGGGGGAGGAGGGCGUCCCGGGAGGCGGGGCCGUGGUGUCCCCGCCCCCUCCUUCACCUGCCCCGGGUUGCGCGUUCGGGACGCCAGGCCGCAGCCCCGCAGGUAGGCGCGCUGGGCGUGCCCGGCCCGUAGGGACCCCAGGCCUCCCCGAGAGGCGGUGGCGGCGCCGCCCGCAGCCGUGGGGCCCGACGCACCACUCCAAAGCGGACCCCUUUGAAGCCUGCCUUGUGAACACGUGACGGAACACCUUGAGCCCCUCUAAAGGGCGCCCGUCUGCCCUGGCCCCGCGCCGGGCCUUUCAGGAACGGUCCUGAAGUCCGGCCCUGUGACGGGAGGCGGGAGGAGGUGAGCGAAGGUGGCUUUAGACUCCGGGGCCCGCUCGUGUGUGUGGCUCGAAUCCUGGUGGCGAAGGACGCGCUGGCGGGGUGCGGCCAGCGUCCCCGCUUUCCGGAGCGUCUGUGGCCGGUGAGCGUCUCUCCAGCCCUCCGCAGGGGUCUCCGGUAACGCCCUCCCCCGUUUCAGCCCCAGUGGUUGGAGAUGGGGAGCCUGGGAGCCAGGGCUGCCGGGGGUUGGGUUUUGUGCGUGACUUUUCCUGUGAGUUGGUGGUUGCAGCUCUACCAACUAAAAAGAUGAAAAAGCUGUAGGAACAGAGAGAUCAGCCGAGACGAGCGCCGUUAACCCGCGUGGAGCCGCAGCCUCGGGCAGCCGCUGCCUGGCUACGCCGGAGCUGGGCACGGAAGCGCCUUGGUAGGCAGCGCGGGUGCUUGCCUGAUGCUCGGGUCGGGCACCGCGGCCUCAGCCUCAGCCUCAGCCUCAAAGCUGAGGUAGCAGGCAGCCCCGAAAAGGCCGCUCUGCGCAGCUGCUGACUCAGUUAUCUUCAACUUGAAGGAGCUGGGACUGAACUCACGACCUUCGCAAGCCAAGCGCAUGCUCCACCACCAACCCACGUCCUCAGCGUAAUGGGUAGUUUUGUAAGAAACUGCCCAACUGUUUUCAAAACCGAGUGUCUCUUACUACACGCACGCACACGCGCGCGCGCGCGCACACACACACACACACACGCUGCAGUCUGGUUCUAGAUCCUUCGCAGUAUUUCUCAUAUUAGAUCUUUACCGUUCAAAAUUUGUUUAGUAGCUUUUCAAAUUUGAAGAACAUCUGUUGGCACACUCAUUUGCCUUUUGAGUGUUCUUUGUUUCUGCUUAGGACAGGGUCUUGACCCUGGCUGGCCUGGUACUGGCGUGUAGCUCAGGCUGGCUUUGAAGAUGCAACAACCCCAGGCUCGUGCCCCACCCUCCACUCCUGACAUCAGCUGUGUGGCGACCUAAUCUCUAGUGGAUCCAGCUGGACGCCCUCUCCCUCCGUUCAGGUCUGCCGCUGCCUGCCUGAAGAUAGCCCAGCUCCAAGGCUGCUCCAUCACUCCAACUUCAGACGCCAACUGCUAGUCUCAGCUUCCGGCUGACCAGCUUUAAUCUGGGGUUCACAGCCCACUUUCUGGGAAGCACCUUUACGGAUGAAUAAAGAAUAUUGCCAAGGAAGCUGUGUUGGCUAAUCGCAGCGUGACGUAUCUGGGGAAGAGGGAACCUCACUUGAAGUCCAGCCUCCAUCAGACCAGCCUGUGUGUGUCUAUUCGGCGUUUUCUUGCUGGGGAAUUGAAGUAGGUGGGCCCGCCGUGGGCGGCGACAUCCCUACGCAGAUUCUUCUACUGUGAUGGCUAAAAACACAAGGAUAUUGGUUUGGUAAAGAAGUGGACAUGUGUAGCUUCAGUCUCCUGAAAUCUUCAAGGGAUUGCAUUUUGCUUCAGCAUAUGCAACAGUAGUACAAUGGAUUCCAUGAACCCACAGUCCAGUUCGGCACCAACACCCUACCGUGCUUGUCUCGGCUCCCAAGCCCACACACUUAGAACAUAACUGCUGUGUCAGUACACCCACGAGCCGGUAAGUGCUUUCCCAGGUCCCUGCCGAAGCUCAGUGAUCUCCGCCGGCAGAAGGGCACGGUGCCAAGUUCUGCGUUUUCCUUUGUUGAGAAACUAGAACGUGUGGCUUUACAUCUUACAACAAAAGGUUUUAAAAGUGUCACUGUUCCUCAUGGAAAGGACAGGAUAACUUUCUCACUCUGAGAACUAGUUUGCCAGGAGACAUAUGUACUUUCUCAUUAAACCUGUAAAGUUUAAAUCACCUAGCUAUCUGGCUCCCAGUUCUGACUUUUCAAAUAAGGAUUAAAAACAAAAUUAAUACAAAAUUAAUAUAUGAUAUGAAUUCUUCUGUCUUCUUACUAUUUCUUCAAUGAUAAAACUGCUCCCUGUUUUUAGAAGAUAUAGAAUAGCAAAUAAAUAGUUUAUAAAAAACACUGUAAGAAACACUGUAUAUUCCACAUGAAAUUGUUAGUUUUCCUUUUGGUCUUCUGUAUUUGAAUAUAAACCUUCUAUAGGAAAAG